AGAGUUUGAUCAUGGCUCAGAUUGAACGCUGGCGGCAGGCCUAACACAUGCAAGUCGAACGGUAACAGGAAACAGCUUGCUGUUUCGCUGACGAGUGGCGGACGGGUGAGUAAUGUCUGGGAAACUGCCCGAUGGAGGGGGAUAACUACUGGAAACGGUAGCUAAUACCGCAUAACGUCGCAAGACCAAAGAGGGGGACCUUCGGGCCUCUUGCCAUCGGAUGUGCCCAGAUGGGAUUAGCUUGUUGGUGGGGUAACGGCUCACCAAGGCGACGAUCCCUAGCUGGUCUGAGAGGAUGACCAGCCACACUGGAACUGAGACACGGUCCAGACUCCUACGGGAGGCAGCAGUGGGGAAUAUUGCACAAUGGGCGCAAGCCUGAUGCAGCCAUGCCGCGUGUAUGAAGAAGGCCUUCGGGUUGUAAAGUACUUUCAGCGGGGAGGAAGGGAGUAAAGUUAAUACCUUUGCUCAUUGACGUUACCCGCAGAAGAAGCACCGGCUAACUCCGUGCCAGCAGCCGCGGUAAUACGGAGGGUGCAAGCGUUAAUCGGAAUUACUGGGCGUAAAGCGCACGCAGGCGGUUUGUUAAGUCAGAUGUGAAAUCCCCGGGCUCAACCUGGGAACUGCAUCUGAUACUGGCAAGCUUGAGUCUCGUAGAGGGGGGUAGAAUUCCAGGUGUAGCGGUGAAAUGCGUAGAGAUCUGGAGGAAUACCGGUGGCGAAGGCGGCCCCCUGGACGAAGACUGACGCUCAGGUGCGAAAGCGUGGGGAGCAAACAGGAUUAGAUACCCUGGUAGUCCACGCCGUAAACGAUGUCGACUUGGAGGUUGUGCCCUUGAGGCGUGGCUUCCGGAGCUAACGCGUUAAGUCGACCGCCUGGGGAGUACGGCCGCAAGGUUAAAACUCAAAUGAAUUGACGGGGGCCCGCACAAGCGGUGGAGCAUGUGGUUUAAUUCGAUGCAACGCGAAGAACCUUACCUGGUCUUGACAUCCACAGAACCUUGUAGAGAUACGAGGGUGCCUUCGGGAACUGUGAGACAGGUGCUGCAUGGCUGUCGUCAGCUCGUGUUGUGAAAUGUUGGGUUAAGUCCCGCAACGAGCGCAACCCUUAUCCUUUGUUGCCAGCGGUCCGGCCGGGAACUCAAAGGAGACUGCCAGUGAUAAACUGGAGGAAGGUGGGGAUGACGUCAAGUCAUCAUGGCCCUUACGACCAGGGCUACACACGUGCUACAAUGGCGCAUACAAAGAGAAGCGACCUCGCGAGAGCAAGCGGACCUCAUAAAGUGCGUCGUAGUCCGGAUUGGAGUCUGCAACUCGACUCCAUGAAGUCGGAAUCGCUAGUAAUCGUGGAUCAGAAUGCCACGGUGAAUACGUUCCCGGGCCUUGUACACACCGCCCGUCACACCAUGGGAGUGGGUUGCAAAAGAAGUAGGUAGCUUAACCUUCGGGAGGGCGCUUACCACUUUGUGAUUCAUGACUGGGGUGAAGUCGUAACAAGGUAACCGUAGGGGAACCUGCGGUUGGAUCACCU
Molecule: ribosomal RNA, 1530 nt
Filed under: Escherichia coli HVH 139 (4-3192644)
Lineage: Bacteria; Pseudomonadati; Pseudomonadota; Gammaproteobacteria; Enterobacterales; Enterobacteriaceae
Description: bacterial SSU rRNA
Rfam family: Bacterial small subunit ribosomal RNA
Source: RNAcentral